CUCCUUUUUACUCUAUUUUAUUUCUAUUUCCAAAUCAAUUCCCUUUUUUAACUAAUAUUUUUAGGGCUCUGAAAUUUAAUUUUCUUGUUUUAUUGGGUGGAAUAGGCAAUGUGUAUUUAUUUAUAUAUAGCUUUUGCCUCAAUAAAAAGAAAGCACUCUUUUGGAUUCUUGAUUGUGCAUAAAGGUCCCAACUUAUAUAGAUUUGUUUGAUAUAGAUUUUGAUAAUUGAUUUUUUGACGUAAAGCAUGUUCUACCUGUGAGAAAAGAAUUCAAAAAUGACGGUUGAACUAGUGAAAUAACGGUAAAAAAAAAUAUUCUAAUUGACUUUUAAUCCGUGACAAACAACACCAUGUUUAUCCACCUUAGAUUACUGAGAUAAUGUUUUGUAACGUAAAAUUAGUGUUAAUCUGUGUGACCAAUGUAUUUAUUAGUAAUUGUCAUUUCAAAUGAGAAAUCAUAUUUUAGUAAAAAGUUAGAUUUUUAGUGGAUUUUGAUAAAAGUCUAUAAGAUGUGAAGGUGAAAAGAUGAUAAAAAUUGUGGGUACAUGA
This 548-nucleotide long non-coding RNA is filed under the name Olea europaea (common olive). Its description in RNAcentral is "long non-coding RNA (OEUR_LNC003012)". Lineage: Eukaryota; Viridiplantae; Streptophyta; Magnoliopsida; Lamiales; Oleaceae. The record is from RNAcentral.